RNAcentral lists this ribosomal RNA (497 nucleotides) under uncultured bacterium. Its description in RNAcentral is "partial 16S ribosomal RNA". It matches the Rfam family "Bacterial small subunit ribosomal RNA", at positions 28 to 507 of the family's 1533-position model. The record is from RNAcentral.
GAUGAACGCUGGCGGCGUGCCUAAUACAUGCAAGUCGAGCGAACGGACGAGAAGCUUGCUUCUCUGAUGUUAGCGGCGGACGGGUGAGUAACACGUGGAUAACCUACCUAUAAGACUGGGAUAACUUCGGGAAACCGGAGCUAAUACCGGAUAAUAUUUUGAACCGCAUGGUUCAAAAGUGAAAGACGGUCUUGCUGUCACUUAUAGAUGGAUCCGCGCUGCAUUAGCUAGUUGGUAAGGUAACGGCUUACCAAGGCAACGAUGCAUAGCCGACCUGAGAGGGUGAUCGGCCACACUGGAACUGAGACACGGUCCAGACUCCUACGGGAGGCAGCAGUAGGGAAUCUUCCGCAAUGGGCGAAAGCCUGACGGAGGAACGCCGCGUGAGUGAUGAAGGUCUUCGGAUCGUAAAACUCUGUUAUUAGGGAAGAACAUAUGUGUAAGUAACUGUGCACAUCUUGACGGUACCUAAUCAGAAAGCCACGGCUAACUACGUG